Molecule: ribosomal RNA, 512 nt
Filed under: uncultured Flavobacterium sp.
Lineage: Bacteria; Pseudomonadati; Bacteroidota; Flavobacteriia; Flavobacteriales; Flavobacteriaceae
Description: bacterial SSU rRNA
Rfam family: Bacterial small subunit ribosomal RNA
Source: RNAcentral
GAGUUUGAUCAUGGCUCAGGAUGAACGCUAGCGGCAGGCUUAACACAUGCAAGUCGAGGGGUAUAGGUUUUCGGACCUAGAGACCGGCGCACGGGUGCGUAACGCGUAUGUAAUCUACCUUUUACAGAGGGAUAGCCCAGAGAAAUUUGGAUUAAUACCUCAUAGUAUAAUGACUCGGCAUCGAGAUAUUAUUAAAGUUCCAACGGUAAAAGAUGAGCAUGCGUCCCAUUAGCUAGAUGGUAAGGUAACGGCUUACCAUGGCGACGAUGGGUAGGGGUCCUGAGAGGGAGAUCCCCCACACUGGUACUGAGGCACGGACCAGACUCCUACGGGAGCAGCAGUGAGGAAUAUUGGUCAAUGGGCGCAAGCCUGAACCAGCCAUGCCGCGUGCAGGAUGACGGUCCUAUGGAUUGUAAACUGCUUUUGUACGGGAAGAAACACUCCUACGUGUAGGAGCUUGACGGUACGUAAGAAUAAGGAUCGGCUAACUCCGUGCCAGCCGCCGCCGUAAC